RNAcentral lists this long non-coding RNA (294 nucleotides) under Olea europaea (common olive). RNAcentral's name for it is "long non-coding RNA (OEUR_LNC001938)". Lineage: Eukaryota; Viridiplantae; Streptophyta; Magnoliopsida; Lamiales; Oleaceae. The record is from RNAcentral.
CGAUCCAUGUAAAUCUACUGAAGAUAUGCGUAGAGAGAGUUAAUGAUUCCAAUCUCUAUAAAACUUCGUUCUUUGCAAUCUCUGAAUAAAAUAAUAUAUUAAAAUCUUAUUUGAGAGAUUACAUUCCCGGCAUCAAGCUUCUAACCUAUUAGAUAGCAACUACAAAAUACAUUUCAACUAUAGGAUUUGACAAGAACAAGGUAUACUACAUCGUCAAUGGAGUAUAUUGGACACCAAGAAUGAAAAUCUGGAAACUCCCUCAAGACGCAUCACUUGUUCAAUAAGCAACUUGAU